RNAcentral lists this ribosomal RNA (497 nucleotides) under uncultured bacterium. Its description in RNAcentral is "partial 16S ribosomal RNA". It matches the Rfam family "Bacterial small subunit ribosomal RNA", at positions 28 to 507 of the family's 1533-position model. The record is from RNAcentral.
GAUGAACGCUGGCGGCGUGCCUAAUACAUGCAAGUCGAGCGAACAGACGAGGCUCUUGCUCCUCUGACGUUAGCGGCGGACGGGUGAGUAACACGUGGAUAACCUACCUAUAAGACUGGGAUAACUUCGGGAAACCGGAGCUAAUACAGGAUAAUAUAUUGAACCGCAUGGUUCAUUAGUGAAAGACGGUUUUGCUGUCACUUAUAGAUGGAUCCGCGCCGCAUUAGCUAGUUGGUAAGGUAACGGCUUACCAAGGCAACGAUGCGUAGCCGACCUGAGAGGGUGAUCGGCCACACUGGAACUGAGACACGGUCCAGACUCCUACGGGAGGCAGCAGUAGGGAAUCUUCCGCAAUGGGCGAAAGCCUGACGGAGCAACGCCGCGUGAGUGAUGAAGGUCUUCGGAUCGUAAAACUCUGUUAUUAGGGAAGAACAAAUGUGUAAGUAACUAUGCCCGUCUUGACGGUACCUAAUCAGAAAGCCACGGCUAACUACGUG